GCUGUAGUGGUUAUCACGUCAGUCUAACACACUGAAGGUCGCCGGUUCAAGUCCGGCGGACAGUA
Molecule: transfer RNA, 65 nt
Filed under: Pseudocercospora eumusae
Lineage: Eukaryota; Fungi; Ascomycota; Dothideomycetes; Mycosphaerellales; Mycosphaerellaceae
Description: Mycosphaerella eumusae tRNA
Rfam family: tRNA
About the family: Transfer RNA (tRNA) molecules are approximately 80 nucleotides in length.
Source: Rfam by way of RNAcentral